GGACUGUCUUAUUUUUCAUCGCACGAUCAGAACUCUGGAAGAAACCUGCAAUGCAGAAGUUAUGAGUCCAUGGAAGUAAUGAAUUUUCUGGGAAGAUAAAUGGAAGCCCUCAAACCUGAAAAUAGCCAGAAACUGCUUGAUUUUGAAAGUCUUGUGAGAAGACAUGGCGAAGAACUGAGUGCCUACAUAUACCAUGAUGGCGGAGAAAGGUAGAGAGG
This is a long non-coding RNA of Tupaia belangeri chinensis (Chinese tree shrew), 218 nucleotides long. RefSeq lists it as uncharacterized. NCBI's taxonomy places the organism in Eukaryota, Metazoa, Chordata, Mammalia, Scandentia, Tupaiidae. The transcript is spliced from 3 exons. The record is from RefSeq and is a predicted model, not a curated record.